AGAGAUUGCGAUUCACCAUAUUGUUGAUCUAGUUGUAACAUUCGAGUGAUUCAUUACGAUACAAUUGAAUUGCAUGUGAAUACUAUUGUUUAGGGAAUUGUCGACGAUCCAACCUCAUUCUUAAUCCAUUGAUUUCUCAACAUUUUCGUACAAACACAUCAUUCAAACCAAACCCCCAAUUUAUGUGUAUUCUUUGCAUCAUGUUUAUGAACACUAUUAGACUCGUUUAAUCACACAAUCCCUGUGGAUCGAUAUUUUUAUUACUACGUGGUAAUUCGUUCACUUGCGAAAA
This 292-nucleotide long non-coding RNA is filed under the name Trifolium pratense (red clover). Its description in RNAcentral is "long non-coding RNA (TPRA_LNC013880)". The record is from RNAcentral. Lineage: Eukaryota; Viridiplantae; Streptophyta; Magnoliopsida; Fabales; Fabaceae.